Small RNA from Sclerotinia sclerotiorum, 187 nucleotides. It matches the Rfam family "A. fumigatus sRNA Afu_182". The record is from Rfam. NCBI's taxonomy places the organism in Eukaryota, Fungi, Ascomycota, Leotiomycetes, Helotiales, Sclerotiniaceae.
GGAAGUACAACGCAUACAUCACAUUCGCUAUAAAGCAUUUUCGGUGAGAAACCCGUCAUCAUUCGUGAUGAUGUGAGGUUUCCACGACCUUGAGAAUCGUCAGUCGAAAUGGAGAGAAAUUUGAUCGAUCUUGGGUGCGGCGCUUCCUUUUUCACUAUAGGAAGGGUCGCAAUGAUUGGCCAUACAU